This 385-nucleotide ribosomal RNA is filed under the name Oligosoma fallai. Its description in RNAcentral is "partial 12S ribosomal RNA". It matches the Rfam family "Bacterial small subunit ribosomal RNA", at positions 794 to 1384 of the family's 1533-position model. The record is from RNAcentral. Lineage: Eukaryota; Metazoa; Chordata; Lepidosauria; Squamata; Scincidae.
GCUCAGCCGUCAACAAAGACAGUAUAAAAUACAACACUGUUCGCCAGAGAAUUACAAGCUAAAGCUAAAAACCCCAAGGACUUGGCGGUGCUCCACAUCACCCUAGAGGAGCCUGUCCUAUAAUCGAUACCCCCCGAUCCACCUCACCAUUUUUUGAAACUCAGCCUAUAUACCGCCGUCGUCAGCCUACCUUAUGAAAGAAACACAGUAAGCAAAAUAGUCACCAACUAAAACGUCAGGUCAAGGUGUAGCAUAUAAAAUGGAAGAGAUGGGCUACACUCUCUCCCCCAGAGAACACUAACAGCAUCAAUGAAACACUGCUCAAAGGUGGAUUUAGUAGUAAGACAAACAAGAGAGCUUGUCUAAAACCAGCCCUGGAGCGCGC